GUCUUUAAGAUUUUAAUUUUAAGUCUAAUCUGCCCAAUGAAAUUUUAAAUGGCUGCAGAAUUUUCUGUACUAAGGUAGCAUAAUAAUUUGUUUUUUAAUUAAAAACUAGAAUGAAAGAUUAAAUGAGAUAUAAACUGUUUCAAUUAAAUUAUAAUUUAAUUUUUUAUUUAAGUAAAAAAACUUAAAUAAAUUUUAAAGACGACAAGACCCUAUAGAAUUUUAUUUAUUUAAUUUAUAAAUUUAUAUUAAAUAAAUUUUAUUGGGGUAAUAAAAAAAUUUAAUUAAUUUUUUUUAUAUAUAACAUACUUUUAUGAUCAAAAAUAUCUUAAUCUUUAAAUUAAAAAAAUUAAUUACCUUAGGGAUAACAGCAUAAUUUUUUUUGAAAGAUCUUAUUUAUAAAAAAGAUUAU
This 409-nucleotide ribosomal RNA is filed under the name Digonogastra sp. Its description in RNAcentral is "partial 16S ribosomal RNA". Lineage: Eukaryota; Metazoa; Arthropoda; Insecta; Hymenoptera; Braconidae. The record is from RNAcentral.